Molecule: ribosomal RNA, 693 nt
Filed under: Wolbachia endosymbiont of Drosophila seguyi
Lineage: Bacteria; Pseudomonadati; Pseudomonadota; Alphaproteobacteria; Rickettsiales; Anaplasmataceae
Description: bacterial SSU rRNA
Rfam family: Bacterial small subunit ribosomal RNA
Source: RNAcentral
AAAUUUGAGAGUUUGAUCCUAGCUCAGAAUGAACGCUGGCGGCAGGCCUAACACAUGCAAGUCGAACGGAGUUAUAUUGUAGCUUGCUAUGGUAUAACUUAGUGGCAGACGGGUGAGUAAUGUAUAGGAAUCUACCUAGUAGUACGGAAUAAUUGUUGGAAACGGCAACUAAUACCGUAUACGCCCUACGGGGGAAAAAUUUAUUGCUAUUAGAUGAGCCUAUAUUAGAUUAGCUAGUUGGUGGAGUAAUAGCCUACCAAGGCAAUGAUCUAUAGCUGAUCUGAGAGGAUGAUCAGCCACACUGGAACUGAGAUACGGUCCAGACUCCUACGGGAGGCAGCAGUGGGGAAUAUUGGACAAUGGGCGAAAGCCUGAUCCAGCCAUGCCGCAUGAGUGAAGAAGGCCUUUGGGUUGUAAAGCUCUUUUAGUGAGGAAGAUAAUGACGGUACUCACAGAAGAAGUCCUGGCUAACUCCGUGCCAGCAGCCGCGGUAAUACGGAGAGGGCUAGCGUUAUUCGGAAUUAUUGGGCGUAAAGGGCGCGUAGGCGGAUUAGUAAGUUAAAAGUGAAAUCCCAAGGCUCAACCUUGGAAUUGCUUUUAAAACUGCUAAUCUAGAGAUUGAAAGAGGAUAGAGGAAUUCCUAGUGUAGAGGUGAAAUUCGUAAAUAUUAGGAGGAACACCAGUGGCGAAGGC